Molecule: ribosomal RNA, 369 nt
Filed under: Colpodea sp. BioMarKs_Marine_Colpodea_OTU_21
Lineage: Eukaryota; Ciliophora; Colpodea
Description: SSU rRNA
Rfam family: Eukaryotic small subunit ribosomal RNA
Source: RNAcentral
AGCUCCAAUAGCGUAUAUUAAAGUUGUUGCAGUUAAAAAAGCUCGUAGUCGAAGUUCUGGCUGGCGCUGUUGUCGGCUUCGGUCGCUUCAGCGCCUAGCCAUCCGCCGGAGAACCCAUGUCGGCCUUCACUGGUCGCUUGGGGGAACCGGCCCUUUACUUUGAAAAAAUUAGAGUGCUUCAGGCAGGCUAUCGCCCGAAUACUCCAGCAUGGAAUAAUGGAAUAGGACUUUGUUCUAUUUGUUGGUUAUUAGAAUAAAGUAAUGAUUAAUAGGGACAGUUGGGGGCAUUCGUACUUAAUUGUCAGAGGUGAAAUUCUUGGAUUUAUUAAAGACGAACUAAUGCGAAAGCAUUUGCCAAGGAUGUUUUCA